This is a long non-coding RNA of Perca fluviatilis (European perch), 703 nucleotides long. RefSeq lists it as uncharacterized. NCBI's taxonomy places the organism in Eukaryota, Metazoa, Chordata, Actinopteri, Perciformes, Percidae. The record is from RefSeq and is a predicted model, not a curated record. The transcript is spliced from 3 exons.
UCUCAAGUAUAACGUGAUGUAGGCCUACCAGUUGUCACUACAGUAUCCUUGUAGUCUACAAGGAUACUAACUCUGGGCAGGAACUCUCUGGAAAUAACUGUGAAGUUGGCCUAAUAACAAAUAAAUUACAUUGUUAAAGUUAGCAACGCCUUUCAAAUUAAACAACCCCAGCUGGCAGUUAGCUAUAGCGUUGUUAGCUAACUAUGGUACGGCUCGUUUUCUUUGGGAAUAAGGAGUUUGACCACUUCGCCGCUAAAAGGAAACGUGGAUGUAUUAAGAGAACUGCGAAAGACCUGCAUCUUCAAACAGCAUCACCCCAAAAUGGCUAGUGGAGGACUUCUGCUACCCGUCAGUGACUCUAGAUUUGGAGAUUUGACUGUGAAUUGGAAGUUGUCUGCCUUCACUUUGGGAAAAGGUCAGGCUUGCUUUUCUUGCCCAGCGGAGGAAAAAGAAAGAGGAGGUUUUUAUAACUACAGGACUACCUUUAAAGUUGGCUGAUGGAUUACAGAGCUGCUGUCAAGGCUCCACUGAAAGCUUUCCAUUCAUAUCACGGUCCUAAGCAGACAAAUCUACCCUCAGCCUCAUUUGCAAUGUUUUUUCUAGAUUAGUUUGCAUGUGUAGUCUAUUUACAUGUUCCCUGUAGACGUUCUGUCUGUUGGACACUUUGACCACACAAUGUGUCUCCAAGAGGAAAAGGAAAAUA